RNAcentral lists this ribosomal RNA (250 nucleotides) under uncultured bacterium. Its description in RNAcentral is "partial 16S ribosomal RNA". It matches the Rfam family "Bacterial small subunit ribosomal RNA", at positions 524 to 773 of the family's 1533-position model. The record is from RNAcentral.
UACGGAGGGUGCAAGCGUUGCUCGGAAUCAUUGGGCGUAAAGCGCGUGUAGGCGGUUGUCUAAGUCUGAUGUGAAAUCCCGGGGCUCAACCCCGGAACUGCAUCGGAUACUGGACAGCUAGAGGAUGAGAGAGGAUGGUGGAAUUCCAGGUGUAGGGGUGAAAUCCGUAGAUAUCUGGAGGAACAUCGGUGGCGAAGGCGGCCAUCUGGCUCAUUUCUGACGCUGAGACGCGAAAGCGUGGGGAGCAAAC